Molecule: non-coding RNA, 202 nt
Organism: Plectropomus leopardus (leopard coralgrouper)
Lineage: Eukaryota; Metazoa; Chordata; Actinopteri; Perciformes; Serranidae
Source: RefSeq, a predicted model, not a curated record
CUGCAGGAGGACCCGUUGGAUGUUUGAGCAGAGCCCGGAGGCGCCAUGGAGCCGCUCCUGGAGGAGCUGUCAGCGCGCGGAGAGGCCGAGUCCCUCUGGUUAAAGGACAUUCACACCUUCAUCACACUGCACCUGUGUCCUGUCCUCUCUGGCCCCGCCCCCUCUCCUGCUGACGACCCGCUGACAGGUGUGUGUGCUGAUC